AUACGGAGGAUGCGAGCGUUAUCCGGAUUUAUUGGGUUUAAAGGGAGCGUAGGUGGAUUGUUAAGUCAGUUGUGAAAGUUGGCGGCUCAACCGUAAAAUUGCAGUUGACACUGGCAGUAUUGAGUACAGUAGAGGUGGGCGGAAUUCGGGGUGUAGCGGUGAAAUGCUUAGAUAUCACGAAGAACUCCGAUUGCGAAGGCAGCUCACUAGACUGUUACUGACACUGAUGCUCAAAAGUGUGGGUAUCAAACAGGAUUAGAUACCCUGGUAGUCCACACAGUAAACGAUGAAUACUCGCUGUUUGCGAUAUACAGUAAGCGGCCAAGCGAAAGCAUUAAGUAUUCCACCUGGGGAGUACGCCGGCAACGGUGAAACUCAAAGGAAUUGGCGGGG
RNAcentral lists this ribosomal RNA (393 nucleotides) under uncultured bacterium. RNAcentral's name for it is "partial 16S ribosomal RNA". It matches the Rfam family "Bacterial small subunit ribosomal RNA", at positions 523 to 918 of the family's 1533-position model. The record is from RNAcentral.